CACAUGCAAGUCGAGCGGUAACAGGGGUAGCUUGCUACCCGCUGACAAGCGGCGGACGGGUGAGUAAUGCAUAGGAAUCUGCCCGGUAGUGGGGGAUAACCUGGGGAAACCCAGGCUAAUACCGCAUACGUCCUACGGGAGAAAGGGGGCUCCGGCUCCCGCUAUUGGAUGAGCCUAUGUCGGAUUAGCUAGUUGGUGAGGUAAUGGCUCACCAAGGCGACGAUCCGUAGCUGGUCUGAGAGGAUGAUCAGCCACAUCGGGACUGAGACACGGCCCGAACUCCUACGGGAGGCAGCAGUGGGGAAUAUUGGACAAUGGGCGAAAGCCUGAUCCAGCCAUGCCGCGUGUGUGAAGAAGGCCCUCGGGUUGUAAAGCACUUUCAGCGAGGAAGAACGCCUAGUGGUUAAUACCCACUAGGAAAGACAUCACUCGCAGAAGAAGCACCGGCUAACUCCGUGCCAGCAGCCGCGGUAAUACGGAGGGUGCAAGCGUUAAUCGGAAUUACUGGGCGUAAAGCGCGCGUAGGUGGCUUGAUAAGCCGGUUGUGAAAGCCCCGGGCUCAACCUGGGAACGGCAUCCUGAACUGUCAAGCUAGAGUGCACGAGAGGAAGGUAGAAUUCCCGGUGUAGCGGUGAAAUGCGUAGAGAUCGGGAGGAAUACCAGUGGCGAAGGCGGCCUUCUGGACUGACACUGACACUGAGGUGCGAAAGCGUGGGUAGCAAACAGGAUUAGAUACCCUGGUAGUCCACGCCGUAAACAAUGU
Molecule: ribosomal RNA, 763 nt
Filed under: Halomonas sp. K4-28L-028
Lineage: Bacteria; Pseudomonadati; Pseudomonadota; Gammaproteobacteria; Oceanospirillales; Halomonadaceae
Description: bacterial SSU rRNA
Rfam family: Bacterial small subunit ribosomal RNA
Source: RNAcentral